UACAUCCACUACUCUAAGUCGCUCUGGAUAAGAGUGUCUGCUAAAUUACUAAAA
Non-coding RNA from Salmo salar (Atlantic salmon), 54 nucleotides. Lineage: Eukaryota; Metazoa; Chordata; Actinopteri; Salmoniformes; Salmonidae. The record is from Rfam.